GCUCAAUUACACCCGACCGGGGCUUCCAAAGCUCAAUCCGAGGCUGCUGGAAAACUGGAAGAAUGAAGUGAAGGAGAAGGGCCGCAUCAACUGUCCCAACAACUGCUGUGAAGCCAUUUACUCCAGCGUCUCGGGGCUGAAGGCUCACCUGGCCAACUGCAACAAGGGGGACCACUCGGUGGGCAAGUACCGCUGCCUCCUGUGCCAGAAGGAGUUCAGCUCCGAGAGCGGGGUCAAGUACCACAUCAUCAAGGCUCACUCGGAGAACUGGUUCCGAACCUCCGCCGAGGCCAGCCGGAAAAAGAAAAGCAGGGAACAGCUUUCUUCCAGCAAAGAGGAGAAAAAGAAAAGCACAAGUGGGAAGAAAAGGGGGAGAAAACCCAAGGAGAGGCCUCCAGAACCGUCCCCGAAGGGCAGAGAGAGCGUGGCAGCAAAGACUAAUCACAAGA
Molecule: non-coding RNA, 449 nt
Organism: Leptosomus discolor (cuckoo roller)
Lineage: Eukaryota; Metazoa; Chordata; Aves; Leptosomiformes; Leptosomidae
Source: RefSeq, a predicted model, not a curated record